AGCAGCCGCGGUAAUUCCAGCUCCAAUAGCGUAUAUUAAAGUUGUUGCAGUUAAAAAGCUCGUAGUUGAAUUUCGGGAUUGACGUGAUGGUCAUGCCUUAAGGGGUAUGAACUGUUACUGUUGAUUUCUCACCUUCUGGAGAAACUUGAUGUCCUUUAUUGGGUGUCUUGCGGAUCCAGGACCUUUACCUUGAAAAGAUUAGAGUGUUUAAAGCAGGCAUUUUUGCUCGAAUACAUUAGCAUGGAAUAAUAGAAUAGGACGGCAUGGUUCUAUUUUGUUGGUUUCUAGGAUCACCGUAAUGAUUAAUAGGGAUAGUUGGGGGCAUUAGUAUUCAAUUGUCAGAGGUGAAAUUCUUGGAUUUAUUGAAGACUAACUACUGCGAAAGCAUUUGCCAAGGAUGUUUUCAUUAAUCAAGAACGAAAGUUAGGGGAUCGAAGACGAUCAGAUACC
This 450-nucleotide ribosomal RNA is filed under the name uncultured Entrophospora. RNAcentral's name for it is "SSU rRNA". It matches the Rfam family "Eukaryotic small subunit ribosomal RNA", at positions 569 to 1016 of the family's 1831-position model. The record is from RNAcentral. Lineage: Eukaryota; Fungi; Glomeromycota; Glomeromycetes; Entrophosporales; Entrophosporaceae.